GCUAGGCAUAGUGGCACAUACCUGUAGUCCUAGUUAUUUGGGAGUCUGAGGCAGGAGGAUCAUUUGAGCCCAGGAGUUCAAGGCUGUAGUGUGCUGUGAUGGAGCCUGUGAAUAGCCACUGCACUCCAGCCUGGGCAACAUAGAAAGACCCUGCCUCUU
This is an unclassified non-coding RNA of Macaca fascicularis (crab-eating macaque), 159 nucleotides long. It matches the Rfam family "Metazoan signal recognition particle RNA". Rfam says of the family: The signal recognition particle (SRP) is a universally conserved ribonucleoprotein. It is involved in the co-translational targeting of proteins to membranes. The record is from Ensembl. Lineage: Eukaryota; Metazoa; Chordata; Mammalia; Primates; Cercopithecidae.